Molecule: ribosomal RNA, 254 nt
Filed under: uncultured organism
Description: partial 16S ribosomal RNA
Rfam family: Bacterial small subunit ribosomal RNA
Source: RNAcentral
UACGGGGGAUGCAGGCGUUAUUCAGCAUUACUGGGCGUAAAGAGUAUGAUGGGUGGUUUUUUUAAUUAAAAUUAAAAUAUAAUUUUUUAAAAUUAAAUAAUUUAUAAUAUUAAAAAACUACGAGUAUAUAUCACGUAUAUUGUAUUUAUAUAGUAAAGGUGAAAUUUUAUAAUAAUAUAAAGACUUUCAAUAAGCGAAGGCUAUAUACCAGAAUAUACUGACACUUUAGUACGAAAGCAUGGGGAGCAAAAAGG